RNAcentral lists this small nuclear RNA (135 nucleotides) under Crocodylus porosus (Australian saltwater crocodile). RNAcentral describes it as "U2 spliceosomal RNA (ENSCPRG00005018704.1)". It matches the Rfam family "U2 spliceosomal RNA", at positions 42 to 185 of the family's 192-position model. From Rfam's summary of the family: U2 is a small nuclear RNA (snRNA) component of the spliceosome (involved in pre-mRNA splicing). Complementary binding between U2 snRNA (in an area lying towards the 5' end but 3' to hairpin I) and the branchpoint sequence (BPS) of the intron results the bulging out of an unpaired adenosine, on the BPS, which initiates a nucleophilic attack at the intronic 5' splice site, thus starting the first of two transesterification reactions that mediate splicing. The record is from RNAcentral. Lineage: Eukaryota; Metazoa; Chordata; Crocodylia; Crocodylidae.
GUACUUGUCUCUGAUAUGUCCUCCAUAGGAGGUCUAUAUUGAGCAGAUGCUUUUUGGUAUUGGGUGGUGGAACCGGAGCGUGCUCCAUCCACUCCAUGCAUUGACCUGGUAUUGCAGUGCUUCCAGGACCGGUGC